UUGAACGCUGGCGGCAUGCCUUACACAUGCAAGUCGAACGGUAGAGGGGCAACCCUUGAGAGUGGCGAACGGGUGAGUAAUAUAUCGGAACGUGCCCAGUCGUGGGGGAUAACGCAGCGAAAGCUGCGCUAAUACCGCAUACGAUCUAUGGAUGAAAGCGGGGGAUCGCAAGACCUCGCGCGAUUGGAACGGCCGAUAUCAGAUUAGGUAGUUGGUGGGGUAAAAGCCCACCAAGCCGACGAUCUGUAGCUG
RNAcentral lists this ribosomal RNA (252 nucleotides) under uncultured bacterium. RNAcentral describes it as "partial 16S ribosomal RNA". It matches the Rfam family "Bacterial small subunit ribosomal RNA", at positions 30 to 289 of the family's 1533-position model. The record is from RNAcentral.